CACUUCUUUGUAUUUUUAGUUGUAGAUCUCCUCCUUUGGGCUCUACUCCUUCUGACUUCUUUAAAAGGCCAGAGCCACCUGUCACAAAAGCUUCACCACCUCAGCAUCAAUCUCCUCCCUUGGGCUUCAUUCAAAAGUUGAGGGCUCCACCUCUUCAUCGUAGAUCUGCUCCCUCGGAUUCCUUUAAAAGAUCAGAUCCCCCUGCUGCCAAAGGUUUACCUCAACAUCAAGAUUCUCCCACAAGCUCCUCGACAGUAAAUGGAGUGAGCCCAUGAGAAGAACAGAAGAACGCUACUGCAAAGAGUACAGUAUCGAUGU
This is a long non-coding RNA of Triplophysa rosa, 318 nucleotides long. RefSeq lists it as uncharacterized. Lineage: Eukaryota; Metazoa; Chordata; Actinopteri; Cypriniformes; Nemacheilidae. The record is from RefSeq and is a predicted model, not a curated record. The transcript is spliced from 4 exons.